Molecule: long non-coding RNA, 472 nt
Filed under: Bos taurus (domestic cattle)
Lineage: Eukaryota; Metazoa; Chordata; Mammalia; Artiodactyla; Bovidae
Description: long non-coding RNA NONBTAT007636
Source: RNAcentral
GUUUGUCUCUAGCGUUUUAACAAACAACAAGAAUUGGAUUGUGGAGAUACUGUUUCUCAUGAAGAACAGAACACCUGUUUCCUAUCUGGCCUUGUGAAAUAAAAUCAACUUUUUGUAACAAACUUUAUAACAUGAAUAUCUUAUAGGAUGUUUAAAGAGUUAUGAUUUUUUUUUAAUUUGUCAUUUCUUUCUAAGACAUUUUUGAAAUAACUGGAAGGCAUCUUUUUUAAGAGAAUAAAAUAAUCACCAUAUUUGAAUGUUUACUAGAAAUUAAUAAUUUGACCUGAUAAUUUAAAUUGCUUCAUUUUAUUUUUAGAAAGAUUAACCCUGAAUUAUGAUUUUUAGGAAGAAUUCUAUAAAAAUGUUUCUUGAUAUUUUAUAAUUCUUUGAAGUAACUACUAAUAAUCAAUUGUAUUAAACACAUGUUUUCAAGUUUAAAAUACACUGAAACUCUAGAAUAGCCCCGAUUUUC